This 446-nucleotide ribosomal RNA is filed under the name uncultured bacterium. RNAcentral's name for it is "SSU rRNA". It matches the Rfam family "Bacterial small subunit ribosomal RNA", at positions 26 to 518 of the family's 1533-position model. The record is from RNAcentral.
AGGAUGAACGCUGGCGGUCUGCUUAACACAUGCAAGUCGAACGGAGUACCUCGGUACUUAGUGGCGGACGGGUGAGUAACGCGUGAGAAUCUGCCCUUAGGUCGGGGACAACCAUUGGAAACGAUGGCUAAUACCGGAUAAGCCGAGAGGUAAAAGAUUAAUUGCCUAGGGAAGAGCUCGCGUCUGAUUAGCUAGUUGGUGAGGUAAAGGCUCACCAAGGCAUCGAUCAGUAGCUGGUCUGAGAGGAUGAUCAGCCACACUGGGAUUGAGAACGGCCCAGACUCCUACGGGGGGCAGCAGUGAGGAAUUUCGUCAAUGGGGGCAACCCUGAACGAGCAACGCCGCGUGCAGGAAGAAGGUUUUCGGAUCGUAAACUGCUUUUCUCGGGGAAGAGAACGGACGGUACCCGAGGAAUCAGCCCCGGCUAACUACGUGCCAGCAGCCGC